GAUGAAGAACGCAGCGAAAUGCGAUAAGUAAUGUGAAUUGCAGAAUUCGGUGAAUCAUCGAAUCUUUGAACGCACAUUGCGCCCGUCAGUAUUCUGGCGGGCAUGCCUGUUCGAGCGUCAUUACGCCCCUCAAGUCCCCUGUGGACUUGGUGUUGGGGAUCGGCGAGGCUGGUUUUCCAGCACAGCCGUCCCUUAAAUUAAUUGGCGGUCUCGCCGUGGCCCUCCUCUGCGCAGUAGUAAAACACUCGCAACAGGAGCCCGGCGCGGUCCACUGCCGUAAAACCCCCCAACUUUUUAUAGUUGACCUCGAAUCAGGUAGGACUACCCGCUGAACUUAAGCAUAUCAAUAAGCGGAGGA
This 358-nucleotide unclassified non-coding RNA is filed under the name soil metagenome. RNAcentral's name for it is "partial contains 5.8S ribosomal RNA, internal transcribed spacer 2, and large subunit ribosomal RNA". The stretch from base 1 to 120 matches the Rfam family "5.8S ribosomal RNA", at positions 35 to 154 of the family's 154-position model. The record is from RNAcentral.